GGGGAAUAUUGCACAAUGGGCGAAAGCCUGAUGCAGCAACGCUGCGUGAGUGAUGAAGGUCUUCGGAUUGUAAAGCUCUGUCUUUUGGGACGAUAAUGACGGUACCAAAGGAGGAAGCCACGGCUAACUACGUGCCAGCAGCCGCGGUAAUACGUAGGUGGCGAGCGUUGUCCGGAUUUACUGGGCGUAAAGGGUGCGUAGGCGGAUGUUUAAGUGAGAUGUGAAAUACCCGGGCUUAACUUGGGUGCUGCAUUUCAAACUGGAUAUCUAGAGUGCAGGAGAGGAGAAUGGAAUUCCUAGUGUAGCGGUGAAAUGCGUAGAGAUUAGGAAGAACACCAGUGGCGAAGGCGAUUCUCUGGACUGUAACUGACGCUGAGGCACGAAAGCGUGGGUAGCAAACAGGAUUAGAUACCC
RNAcentral lists this ribosomal RNA (414 nucleotides) under uncultured bacterium. RNAcentral describes it as "partial 16S ribosomal RNA". It matches the Rfam family "Bacterial small subunit ribosomal RNA", at positions 356 to 787 of the family's 1533-position model. The record is from RNAcentral.